CAGUCGCCACGGUAAUACGGAGGGGGCUAGCGUUGUUCGGAAUUACUGGGCGUAAAGCGCACGUAGGCGGCUUUGUAAGUUAGAGGUGAAAGCCCGGGGCUCAACCCCGGAAUAGCCUUUAAGACUGCAUCGCUUGAACGUCGGAGAGGUGAGUGGAAUUCCGAGUGUAGAGGUGAAAUUCGUAGAUAUUCGGAAGAACACCAGCGGCGAAGGCGGCUCACUGGACGACUGUUGACGCUGAGGUGCGAAAGCGUGGGGAGCAAACAGGAUUAGAUACCCCUGUAGUCCCUGUCUCUUAUAC
Molecule: ribosomal RNA, 301 nt
Filed under: uncultured bacterium
Lineage: Bacteria
Description: partial 16S ribosomal RNA
Rfam family: Bacterial small subunit ribosomal RNA
Source: RNAcentral